UCUGCUGAGAGAAGUUUAAACAAUUCACGAAUUUCUUACGAGACAAAUCAAUAUUGUGUGGUCAAGCUAGCAAGAAGGAUCAAGGAGUUCCCACCUAAAACAAAAAUAUGAAAAUCUUAAUCGCAGUUUUGUGYAUUCUUCCAYUAGCAUUGGGUUUCCCUGCAGC
Exaiptasia diaphana is the source of this 166-nucleotide long non-coding RNA. RefSeq lists it as uncharacterized. Lineage: Eukaryota; Metazoa; Cnidaria; Anthozoa; Actiniaria; Aiptasiidae. The record is from RefSeq and is a predicted model, not a curated record. The transcript is spliced from 2 exons.